GCCGAUGUGGUGGAAUUGGCAGACACAGGAGACUUAAAAUCUCCUGCCCCGAACAGGGGCGUACCGGUUCGAGUCCGGUCAUCGGCACCA
RNAcentral lists this transfer RNA (90 nucleotides) under Acidobacteriota bacterium. RNAcentral's name for it is "Acidobacteria bacterium (wastewater metagenome) tRNA-Leu". It matches the Rfam family "tRNA". From Rfam's summary of the family: Transfer RNA (tRNA) molecules are approximately 80 nucleotides in length. Lineage: Bacteria; Pseudomonadati; Acidobacteriota. The record is from RNAcentral.